Molecule: transfer RNA, 72 nt
Filed under: Trichonephila clavata
Lineage: Eukaryota; Metazoa; Arthropoda; Arachnida; Araneae; Nephilidae
Rfam family: tRNA
About the family: Transfer RNA (tRNA) molecules are approximately 80 nucleotides in length. Their secondary structure includes four short double-helical elements and three loops (D, anti-codon, and T loops).
Source: Rfam by way of RNAcentral
GGUUCCAUGGUGUAAUGGUUAGCAAUCUGUACUCGGCUUCCAGCGAUCCGAGUUCAAAUCUCGGUGGAACCU